UGGGGAUAUUGGCACAAUGGAGGAAACUCUGAUGCAGCAACGCCGCGUGAGGGAAGAAGGUCUUCGGAUUGUAAACCUUAGUAGUCAGGGACGAAAGGAAAUGACGGUACCUGAAGAGUAAGCUCCGGCUAACUACGUGCCAGCAGCCGCGGUAAUACGUAGGGAGCGAGCGUUGUCCGGAUUUACUGGGUGUAAAGGGUGCGUAGGCGGGACUGCAAGUCAGACGUGAAAUACCGAGGCUUAACUUCGGGGCUGCGUUUGAAACUGUGGUUCUUGAGAAGUAGAGGCAGGCGGAAUUCCUAGUGUAGCGGUGAAAUGCGUAGAUAUUAGGAGGAACACCAGUGGCGAAGGCGGCCCUGCUGGGCUUUAACUGACGCUGAAGCACGAAAAGCAUGGGGGAGCAAAACAGGA
RNAcentral lists this ribosomal RNA (411 nucleotides) under uncultured bacterium. Its description in RNAcentral is "partial 16S ribosomal RNA". It matches the Rfam family "Bacterial small subunit ribosomal RNA", at positions 355 to 777 of the family's 1533-position model. The record is from RNAcentral.